Molecule: RNA transcript, 2098 nt
Organism: Wyeomyia smithii (pitcher-plant mosquito)
Lineage: Eukaryota; Metazoa; Arthropoda; Insecta; Diptera; Culicidae
Gene name: zinc finger protein 664-like
Exons: 4
Source: RefSeq, a predicted model, not a curated record
UAAAAUUACGCAAUCGAUCUAUCUCAAAAAUUAGAAAAUAGAGCAACAUUUUCUUCCGUUACAUCAGUGAAGUUCAAAUUUCAAUUAUUUAUGACUUCGCUAUCUUUUGGUAUCUAAUUCUUCUAAUAAUUUUUUAAAUGCUACACAACAGAAAAUAAACAGAAAUAAUUUUUUUUCAUGGUCUGGUAAAAUCUAUUUGUUUGGUUUUAUCUCAACCAUGUCAUGCAGCCUUUAAUUUGACCGUGUCUCGUGCGAGAAGAUAGCAUACUGAUUACGCUGUUAAGAAUUGUCAAAAUAGUUUAUCAAUCUACAAUAUUUACGUUUUAAAAAUAUUUUCGAAAAUCAAUCGGAGCUUCAGUGAAUAAAAAACUGGAUAAAACUGGCAAAUAUCUGAAAAACUGGAAGAUUUUGGGAAUAAACUGUUUGACUGGAUCACUUGAAAAAAACUGGAGGAAUCCAGUUUAAACUGGAACAUUGGCAACCCUGUUUCCGUCAAUGUGAAACUGUCUGCUGGAAGAAAGUGUUUCUGAAGUAAAUUGAGGGCAACGAUAUGGCAGAAUCUACGCCGGUAAAGGUAAAGGAAGAACCGGUUGAGAUAAAGCUGGAAGAGGUUACCAUAUUCGAUACUUUGGAUACGGAAGAAAGUAUACCGUUGGUGAAAAAUUUUCGUCCAACUGUUGUGAAACAAGAACCCACCGUUACCGACAGCAUUGAGGAAGCGGAUACAGUAGCAGAGCCGGCCGAGAUGGAAACUACAGCGACCGAUGCUGGGGCUUCCAGUUCCAGGUCUCCCCAACUGCAACGGAACAGGUCCAACAUUAACGCAUCACAGAUCAAGUUUUUGGUCAAUUUCAUGGAACGACAUCCCAAUCUCGCCCGUAGCCGAUUUAAAACCCCGGAGGAGAAACGAAACUCUAAACGGCUGUGGAAUGACCUGCAGGAAGCUCUAAACCAGCGAGGACCCCCGAAGCGGCACAUGUUGGAGUGGAAGAAGGUGUGGCAGGAUUACAAAUAUAACGUGAAACUUAAGCUACGGCACAACUUGAACUGCCUAGCAAAACCUGGAGGAAACAGGAAAAAAAUUAAGUAUUUAAAUCAGUACGAGGAAAGUGUCGUGCGAUCCGCCGGACUGAAUGAGAUUGUUGGAGCUACGACUGUAGCUACCAAAUCGGCCGAUAAAGUUACGAUUCAACCGGACGUCAAUACGCUUGAGUUGAACUCACAGUCGAAUGACUCGGCAGAGAAGACUGAAACGAUGCUAGUGGAGGUGGAGGUUGAAGAAGCCGAAAACGAGUACGACGCUGAAGUCGACCAGAGUGUCGUCCAAGAGGCAUAUCCCUGUCACGAACGUCAUCCCCAUACAUUUCGCUUGAAGCCGUUUUUCUCUGGCUCUCUGGCUCGAUUACCCGUCAAAAGGCUGUCAGCGCUUGCGAAACAGCCGAUUAAGCACCGUUCAUGCGAGAUUAACUGUUGCUGCAAGUGGUGUGAAGAAAUGCAAAAAGCGAAAAACGAUUGUUUUGUUUUGAACGUUUUAUGGAUUUUGUGCAGGACAUAAAUGGUCACGUUCAAACAUGUUCCAACACGUUCCGGAUGGCCCUACAUUCAAUAUAGUUAGAAGCACGCAAAAAAUCCGUACAGUAACACAUGCGGCACAAUGAACGGAGCUUAUGACCAUAUUUCCAACAGUAGCGCCAUCAUCAUCGGCGGCGGCUUCAGGAAACUGUUGCCAUGACAUCGGUCUGCCAAGAGGAGGAGCCUGGAAAAGAAACUGUGCCCGAAGCUAACGGAAGAGCACCGUACAAGACAAACAAGAGAGAAAAAAUCGACCUGCUGAGGCGAUUUGUAGAAGCGAAAGAGGAAAGCAACAACAUUCGGAGGGAUUUAUUACGCAUCAAGGCGGAAAGUUUAGAGAUCAAACGGAAAAUGUACGAACUGCAAGCGAAGCAAUUUGCUUUGACGCAUGACAAUUGCUUGGCGGAUUAACGAUUCAAUACGGACCACAAGACAGCCGAUGCUACUAAAAGCUCUACAAAAGCCAACAGUAAAACAGAACCAUUCCAAAACCAGCCAGCUUCCGCCAAUCGAAGUGAGUUGAACC